UACGUAGGGUGCAAGCGUUGUCCGGAAUUAUUGGGCGUAAAGAGCUCGUAGGCGGUCCGUCGCGUCGAAUGUGAAAACCCGGGGCUCAACCCCGGGCUUGCAUUCGAUACGGGCGGACUAGAGUUCGGUAGGGGAGACUGGAAUUCCUGGUGUAGCGGUGAAAUGCGCAGAUAUCAGGAGGAACACCGGUGGCGAAGGCGGGUCUCUGGGCCGAUACUGACGCUGAGGAGCGAAAGCGUGGGGAGCGAACAGG
Molecule: ribosomal RNA, 253 nt
Filed under: uncultured bacterium
Lineage: Bacteria
Description: partial 16S ribosomal RNA
Rfam family: Bacterial small subunit ribosomal RNA
Source: RNAcentral